Vicia villosa (hairy vetch) is the source of this 706-nucleotide long non-coding RNA. RefSeq lists it as uncharacterized. The record is from RefSeq and is a predicted model, not a curated record. Lineage: Eukaryota; Viridiplantae; Streptophyta; Magnoliopsida; Fabales; Fabaceae. The transcript has 5 exons.
AAAUAAAAGUAGAUAGAUAAUAUACAACCCCAAGCGUAGGGGUAUCCUUAACAGAUUUCUCUUUCCCUCCCUCCUUCCGUGGCACGCCCGAAGAUGGAUUUCGGCGCGAUUUACGGCCGCCAUAGCCGCCCCUGCAGAAGUCGUCGCCGCUGAUCAGAUCUCAACCCCGCACCGCGAUUCUGAGAUUGAUAGAUAACUGAAAGAUUUUAUUGGAAUUCAAGAGUUCCUGAUUCACUGAUGAGAAAUUUGCAAAUGAGAUCUCUAUUUCAAUUAUUACUAUUGCACAUCAAAGUAAGGCCACACUUUGCUAAAGUGUGCAGGGAAAAGGCUAAACUUUUGCGACAAGAUCGAGCUAGGGCAAGAAGAGGGGAAGGAGAAGAUCAAUUGUAGAAAUUCGAAAAGGGAAUCAGUUCGACUAAUAAUCUAAGGUACUCAAGAGUAGUUCGUUGAAGUUAGGGGAUAGCUUCAUAGCGUCCUUUUACCGUUGUUUAUAUUGAAGGGAGUCUUGCUCUGAUACGUAACAUCAGGGACAGGGUCGUUAUGUUCUAGAACUAUUAUGUUCACUUUGAAUAUUUGAAUUUGGUUUGCAUUUUGAUGAAUUACCUUUCAAAGAAUUUUGGAUGUUGAUGUUUUGAGUUAUAAUUCAUGAACCAUGAGGUUUAAUUGAUGUGUUAUGAAGAGUACCAAGGAUGUUUUAAAUUGUGAA